UAGUGGCGAACGGGUGAGUAACACGUGGGCAAUCUGCCCUUCACUCUGGGACAAGCCCUGGAAACGGGGUCUAAUACCGGAUAUCACUCCUGCAGGCAUCUGCGGGGGUUGAAAGCUCCGGCGGUGAAGGAUGAGCCCGCGGCCUAUCAGCUUGUUGGUGAGGUAAUGGCUCACCAAGGCGACGACGGGUAGCCGGCCUGAGAGGGCGACCGGCCACACUGGGACUGAGACACGGCCCAGACUCCUACGGGAGGCAGCAGUGGGGAAUAUUGCACAAUGGGCGAAAGCCUGAUGCAGCGACGCCGCGUGAGGGAUGACGGCCUUCGGGUUGUAAACCUCUUUCAGCAGGGAAGAAGCGAAAGUGACGGUACCUGCAGAAGAAGCGCCGGCUAACUACGUGCCAGCAGCCGCGGUAAUACGUAGGGCGCAAGCGUUGUCCGGAAUUAUUGGGCGUAAAGAGCUCGUAGGCGGCUUGUCACGUCGGGUGUGAAAGCCCGGGGCUUAACCCCGGGUCUGCAUUCGAUACGGGCUAGCUAGAGUGUGGUAGGGGAGAUCGGAAUUCCU
This 564-nucleotide ribosomal RNA is filed under the name Streptomyces sp. 424B04. RNAcentral's name for it is "bacterial SSU rRNA". It matches the Rfam family "Bacterial small subunit ribosomal RNA", at positions 93 to 671 of the family's 1533-position model. The record is from RNAcentral. RNAcentral also lists the same sequence under 1 other name. Lineage: Bacteria; Bacillati; Actinomycetota; Actinomycetes; Kitasatosporales; Streptomycetaceae.